AUGACCCUGCGCCGGAUAGCGCACGAGGUGGUCGGCAUUCCUAUAGAAGAACUGCGCGCCGUAAAUGAGGACCCGCUGGCGAGCAUGCCCGCCGAUGCGGUUCUCGAGCCCGGCACGAAGGUGAGGUUGCCUGUGGUCUUGGACUAUCAGGGCAGUCCCUACGGAAUGGCGCUGCACCUGGGUAGUGCCGAGGCGCAGCUGCAGGACUGUGAGGCGCUCCUCGACUCUCUCGUGAGCUCGUGGGAGGGCGAAUAUGGCUCUCACAGUUUGGAGUGCCUUCCUCCACGUAAGGUGUGCUCGCAGACGGAGGCGGUGUUGGCCAAGGUGCACGAGGAGGCGAUUCGGCAACUGCCCAAGGUCGACGCGGGUCUUCAGCGGUUGGGGAGCAGAGAGUCAAAGCUGCCGCUUCUGGUGGAAGUCGGGGCGAUCAAGGCAGCCGAGCGCGCCAUUGAGGAGUCGUUCCAGCGAGCCGUCGCGGGGCUCGAGAGUUUCAAGAAGGAAAAUGAAGCUUGUGGAAGAGUCGCCCCGGCAUCGUUGAGCUCUAACGACCUCACCCCGGCUUCCCUUCACACGAAGCGCGACGAGGGCGAAGACUACUGCGUCCUGCACACGCAUCGGUGGGAGUUCGCGGUUCAUGGAGUGCGCUCGAAGGAACCGCGGGAGGUUUGGGCGGUGCUCUCCUGCCAGCCGCUCGUGGCGCUGCUGGACGCGAUCGACUGCCCGGCAACACGAGACCCGCUCACCACCUCCCGAAAUGCCUUCUUCUUCAUCCACGGCGUCUUCUACAUCGACGACCGGCAUCGAGCACAAGCGGACUUUGUCGACCUCAGCGAGGUUAUCCGGGGGAACGAUCCUUUGCAGGACGCGUCGAGCUUUCACGCUCCCGAGCACCAGGGCUUUUCUCGGUGCCCCGUGAAGAGCGCAGCAGAGACCGCGUUCAAGGACCUCAACAUCAAGAUGGGUGAGUCGUGCCUGCUGCGGCACUGCGGCGGAUGCGACCACUACUUCUUCCUGUCGCAUGCCCGAAGCCUAAGCGGCUACCCGCGCAAGGAGCGACAUGAGUUCCCGCACCGUGUGGCCAAAGUACGAGACCAGGCAAGGCGGUGUCUGCUCUGUCGAUUGUUUCCGGCCACGAUCGCGCUCUACGAGGACCCACUUUCACCUGAGAGUCCGGCCUUUUACUGCGCGGUGUGCUUUGAUCUUCUACACAGCGGCGACACCCCCGAGGAGGCGGCGCAGUACCAGCGGCGCGAAGCGAAGGACUUUGGUGAGGUUUACUUCAAGGCGACGUAG
Molecule: ribosomal RNA, 1293 nt
Filed under: Leishmania infantum
Lineage: Eukaryota; Euglenozoa; Kinetoplastea; Trypanosomatida; Trypanosomatidae
Description: small_nuclear_RNA_gene_activation_protein_(SNAP )_50_-_putative
Source: RNAcentral